Molecule: ribosomal RNA, 130 nt
Filed under: Gastrotheca cuencana
Lineage: Eukaryota; Metazoa; Chordata; Amphibia; Anura; Hemiphractidae
Description: partial 16S ribosomal RNA
Source: RNAcentral
UCUAUCAGAAGUCUUCUCUAGUACGAAAGGACCGAAAAGACAUAGCCAAUGCCCCAGCAAGCUAUCCCCACCAACUUAUGACCCAAACUUAAUAAUAAAAUAGUUCAACACUUAGCCUAAGAAAAAGGCA